UACAGAGGUCUCAAGCGUUGUUCGGAUUCAUUGGGCGUAAAGGGUGCGUAGGUGGCGCCGUAAGUCAGGUGUGAAAUUUCGGAGCUUAACUCCGAAACUGCAUUUGAUACUGCGGUGCUUGAGGACUGGAGAGGAGACUGGAAUUUACGGUGUAGCAGUGAAAUGCGUAGAGAUCGUAAGGAAGACCAGUGGCGAAGGCGGGUCUCUGGACAGUUCCUGACAGCUGAGGCACGAAGGCCAGGGGAGCAAACGGG
This 254-nucleotide ribosomal RNA is filed under the name uncultured bacterium. RNAcentral's name for it is "partial 16S ribosomal RNA". It matches the Rfam family "Bacterial small subunit ribosomal RNA", at positions 524 to 776 of the family's 1533-position model. The record is from RNAcentral.